Molecule: long non-coding RNA, 2468 nt
Filed under: Canis lupus familiaris (dog)
Lineage: Eukaryota; Metazoa; Chordata; Mammalia; Carnivora; Canidae
Description: lncRNA (ENSCAFG00000056674.1)
Source: RNAcentral
UUUUUUUUUUUUUUUUUUACCUCUUCCAAAAGACAACCUCUUAGGUGUCCAGCUCCCUAUCACUCCAUCCAUUCUCCAAUCCCUGUGCGAACUGGGUGCUGUCGCCAGUUCCUCUGGGCUACCCAGAUGCCACUCAUUGCAGAGAUUCAGAGUCAUUAAAUCUUGCCAGACCUGACCUGGAGGCCUGGGAGGGGAAAGGCAUUACAGAAGAGGCAUGAUCCCAGAACCAUGCACACUCCCUUUCAAGACUCAACACACACAGACUUAGUGAGGCUCCGGUCCCAGUUUGACUCAUGAUCCCUAAGCCUAGAGACUGGGGCAUUUCCCCAAGGCAAGCAAUGGAAAGAGUUUUGUCUCACUUCUGACUGAGGACAUUCCCACAACUUCUGAAGUUUGGGUUCAUCCUUAGAACCAACAGAUUUUUCACCUAGGGUAGAAUUUUCUACAUUCAUAUUUUGUUUCUCCGUAGCAAGAUUCAUAUCGCCUAGAGGAGCCAGUGGAUUCUGAAGUUGUCUUCAGCUUCAAAAGCCCCUAAGCCUCUCUUCUCAAAAUGACAGCACCACCUGGAGAUGCUACACGGAGAGACAUGGAGUUUCACACAUGAAAAAGAGAAAAGCAGCCUGUGUUAUUUGGAAUCAUCUCUUUUUCGAGGCCCUUCCUUCUCUAAACAUAAUGGUUCUUCUCUUGUCCUCAAUUUUUGCUACCAUGCAUCCAUUCCUGAUUAUAUUACCAGGAUGAGGCCCAGCCCUCAAUCCUCAUGUUUUCAUUAGACCUAGAAAAACAAUGUGAAAUGGAGAGGCCCACCUACGGCAUCAACAAAGGUACUAGUUCGACCCUUCCAGGCCCAUUUUUCAGAAAAGCACUGUAAGAUUUUCUUUUGAAAACUCCUGGUUACUUAAAUAAAGGUGUAUAUUGCAUAGAACUCUCUUUCCUCCCAUCCAGAAGUGAAUUCUAAGACUGUGGUUCUUCAGAAAUUAUAGAUGGGAUUGCUAAGCAUCUUAGGAAAAGUGACUUUAAAUUAGUAGUAAUUUCACGGAUGAAGUAAAAGCUUGCUUCUGAGUCCCUAUACUUCACGUGAAAGUAUCCACAUAGAACGUCCAUUAAAUAAUUACCAACUUGUGUCCCCUUGGAUUCCUAAUGGUUGGAGUAUUUGUUGAAUAGAGAUGGGUAGAGAUGUGUGUUUCUGCACCAUCAAGUAUGCCAAAUAAUUUUAAAAUAGCUGGAUGUUUCUUCAAAUAUUUAUCCCAUGGCACUUAAAGUAAUGAAGAAUAUCGUGAAAUUUCUGAAUUUCUAUUGAAAAAAACAAGGUUCUAAUGAAAUAAAGGGUGCAUCAAUCAUACAUUCUGCUUGUUAAUGAAAUAUACUCAGGGCAUGAAGAGUUCCCACAAACCCAAUUUGAAGAUUUGGAUUUGUCAGCAUGAGAACUGAGUAGUCCCAACUCUUAACUGUAGACAAUCCAUAAGCAAGAGAAUCCGUUGGGACACCAGAGGGAUAACUUUCAUGUUAGGUGCCAGGGCCAAUGUCCACAGUUUCUGUGCAGGAUAAUGAUGGGGCUUUCUGAUGCUGAAAUCCAAGAUCGGCAUGAAGACACUAACCAAAUGUGAGAAGCCUUCCGGAGUCUUUGUUUGCAUUUUUGCCAACCCUGAACAUCCGGAGGACCUCAUAUCCUAAGUUACUCUAGUGGCAGAGGAGCCAUGGAGUUUCUUUGAGCGCCUAAGGUUACUGUGCUCCAAGGAUUCGUGAGAAUAUGGAGGGGAAAGAUUUUGAGAUUCCCAGAGGGAGCUCUGAUGAAAGUCUCAGAGUAGAUACCCUUAGAAAGAUGGUCCAUUUCUCUGGAGGUCUUUUCAGUCUGGUCUAGACAAGACAGAAGUCAUCUGGAAGAAUGGUAACUUGAGUUCCACAUUUCUAGAACUUCAGAUCCUGAAUUGUAGGUUUGACUGUCCCUGCAUCAAACUGUAAAAAUGAAUGUUUUCAUCAAAGGGUGAGAAUUCACUGUUUCCUUUGUGACCAGCUCAUGAGAGUUUACAAAAUGAAGAGGUAAGCAGUGGACUCCCUAACAGAAGAGAUUGUACUCUCUGGCACUAGCAGGAAGAUUUAUGAUCUCAGAAGUAUAGCUGAUCAGAGUGUGAUCUUGAGCCAGCAGAACCUGGGCCACUAUGCAAUGGCCAUACUGAUGAGAAGACAGAGGUGGCCAGGAUGGUCCAGUGAAGACCAUUUUCUACCUUUAGCUGGACCACUUUUUUUUCAUUUGUUUUUGUUGAAGUUGAAUUUGCCAACAUAUAGUAUAACACCCAGUGCUCAUCCCAUCCAGUGCCGUCCUCAGUGCCUGUCACCCAGUUAUCCCAACCCCCCGCCCAUCCCCCCUUCCACAAUCCUUUGUGUAUAUUGCCCUGGGUAACAUUGACAUUUUCACAGUAUUUAUUCUUCCAAUCCAUGAGCAUGGACUAUGUUCCCGUCUCUUUACAUCU